Molecule: long non-coding RNA, 198 nt
Filed under: Mustela putorius furo (domestic ferret)
Lineage: Eukaryota; Metazoa; Chordata; Mammalia; Carnivora; Mustelidae
Description: lncRNA (ENSMPUG00000026707.1)
Source: RNAcentral
UUUACAGGCUGGAAAACUAAGAUCUAGAGAUGUGAAAUGCCCUAGUUAGACUCAGAAGUCACCUGAAGAGGAUUUGCCAAAUCAGCUUUCAAACUGAGGAAACAGAGUCCUUCCACAGUUAAUUGAAGCGUACGAUAAAUUGUAUGCUGUGUGAGGAUUGAUCACGUUAUAUAGCAAGAUCGUGGAAUAUAAAUGGAG